This 597-nucleotide RNase P RNA is filed under the name Treponema sp. Its description in RNAcentral is "RNase P RNA component class A". It matches the Rfam family "Bacterial RNase P class A". Rfam says of the family: Ribonuclease P (RNase P) is a ubiquitous endoribonuclease, found in archaea, bacteria and eukarya as well as chloroplasts and mitochondria. Its best characterised activity is the generation of mature 5'-ends of tRNAs by cleaving the 5'-leader elements of precursor-tRNAs. Cellular RNase Ps are ribonucleoproteins. Lineage: Bacteria; Pseudomonadati; Spirochaetota; Spirochaetia; Treponematales; Treponemataceae. The record is from RNAcentral.
GCGAUGAACCAUGCCGCCGCGGUUUUUAAAGAUUUGCCGACGCUCAUCUUUAAAAAUUCGAGGAAAGUCCGGACUCCGCAGGGCACGGCGCCGGGUAACCCCCGGGCGGAAAGCGUAACAAGUCCCCGGUAACGGGGAUAAAAAGCUUUUCGACAGAAAGCGCAACAGAAAGGAUACCGCUUUGUACCUGCAGGUAAAAUGUUGCGCCUAAAGGCGCAGCUUGAACCCGAAGGCGGAAAGUCAGGGUGAAAUGGCGGGGUAAGAGCCCACCGCGCCGGCGGCAACGCCGGCGGCAAACAAUUCGGUUCGGCCGGCAGGGCAGGGUUUGCGCAGCAAAACUUGCCAUAAUCGGCUGGGCCGGAUUAUGGCAAGCCUCGCCGGGAGCAAAGUCAAGCAAGUGCGCGGCUUGUACCUAACGGUACAAGCUUUUAUACCAAAAGGUGAAAUCACACCCAAUGGUGUAAGCCGGCGGCCCGCCGGUCAAGCACGGGUAGACUGCACGGAGACGGCCGGUAACGGCCGUCCCAGACAGAUGGCGGUUAUGGCACGCCCCAGGGCGUGCCAAAAACAGAAUCCGGCUUAUGGUUCAUCGCUUUU